GAUGAAGAACGCAGCGAAAUGCGAUAAGUAAUGUGAAUUGCAGAAUUCAGUGAAUCAUCGAAUCUUUGAACGCACCUUGCGCUCCUUGGUAUUCCGAGGAGCAUGCCUGUUUGAGUGUCAUGAAAUUCUCAACCUUUUCAGCUUUCUUUGUUGAUCAGGCUUGGAUGUGGGAGUAUGCGGGCUUCUCAGAAGUCGGCUCUCCUGAAAUGCAUUAGCGGGACCUUUGUUGCCUGGCUUUGGUGUGAUAAUUAUCUACGCCAUUGUAGUCAAGCAGCUUAAAAUGAGGUUUCAGCUUCUAACCGUCUCCCCUGAGACAACUUUUUGACAAAUUGACCUCAAAUCAGGUAGGACUACCCGCUGAACUUAAGCAUAUCAAUAAGCGGAGGA
This 387-nucleotide unclassified non-coding RNA is filed under the name soil metagenome. RNAcentral describes it as "partial contains 5.8S ribosomal RNA, internal transcribed spacer 2, and large subunit ribosomal RNA". The stretch from base 1 to 120 matches the Rfam family "5.8S ribosomal RNA", at positions 35 to 154 of the family's 154-position model. The record is from RNAcentral.